UACGUAGGGUGCGAGCGUUGUCCGGAAUUAUUGGGCGUAAAGAGCUCGUAGGCGGUGUGUCACGUCGGCCGUGAAAACCUGCAGCUUAACUGUGGGCGUGCGGUCGAUACGGGCAUCACUGGAGUUCGGCAGGGGAGACUGGAAUUCCUGGUGUAGCGGUGAAAUGCGCAGAUAUCAGGAGGAACACCGGUGGCGAAGGCGGGUCACUGGACCGGCAUUGACGCUGGAGGUGCGAAAGCCGUGGGGAGCAAACAGG
This 256-nucleotide ribosomal RNA is filed under the name uncultured bacterium. RNAcentral's name for it is "partial 16S ribosomal RNA". It matches the Rfam family "Bacterial small subunit ribosomal RNA", at positions 524 to 776 of the family's 1533-position model. The record is from RNAcentral.